Long non-coding RNA from Gavialis gangeticus (Gharial), 112 nucleotides. RefSeq lists it as uncharacterized. The transcript has 3 exons. Lineage: Eukaryota; Metazoa; Chordata; Crocodylia; Gavialidae. The record is from RefSeq and is a predicted model, not a curated record.
UUAUAAAUUCAGUAGGUUAGCAUAAGGCAGACAAGGUGUUUUGGGUAAAUCUGAUAUCUUUUAUUAGGCCAACUAAAAUAGUUGAAAACAUUCUUUUUUGCAAGCUUUCUGG